Molecule: non-coding RNA, 845 nt
Filed under: Oligosoma lineoocellatum
Lineage: Eukaryota; Metazoa; Chordata; Lepidosauria; Squamata; Scincidae
Description: partial 12S ribosomal RNA
Rfam family: Bacterial small subunit ribosomal RNA
Source: RNAcentral
UUGGUCCUAAACUUGCCAUUGUUUUUAAUAAAAAUUACACAUGCAAGCUUCAACACACCAGUGAGAAUGCCCACAAACCCCUAAACAGUCUACAGGAGCAGGCAUCAGGAACACCAGUUGUUUGCCCACAACGCCUUGCUACGCCACACCCACAAGGGCCUUCAGCAGUGAGAGAUAUUAAGAAAUAAGCGAAAGCUUGACUUAGUUAUUAUUAAUAUGGUCGGUAAAUUUCGUGCCAGCCACCGCGGUUAUACGAAAGACCAAAAACAAUGACCCACGGCGUAAAGAGUGACAAAAGUAACACAAACUAUUUAAAAGAAAACUACAACAAAGUUGUAAAAUACUACUGAUUGCAGGAAUCACAACAACAAAAUGCCUUUAAACCACUUAACCUCACGAAAGCUGAGAAACAAACUGGGAUUAGAUACCCCACUAUGCUCAGCCGUAAACAAAGACAGUAUAAAACACAAUACUAUUCGCCAGAGAACUACAAGCCAAGGCUCAAAACUCCAAGGACUUGGCGGUGCUCCACAUCAACCUAGAGGAGCCUGUCCUAUAAUCGAUACCCCCCGAUCUACCUCACCACUUUUUGAAAUUCAGCCUAUAUACCGCCGUCGUCAGCCUACCUUAUGAAAGAAGCAUAGUAGGCAAAAUAGUCAUCAACUAAAACGUCAGGUCAAGGUGUAGCAUAUAAAAUGGAAGAGAUGGGCUACACUCUCUCCCCCAGAGAACACGAACAGCAUCAAUGAAACACUGCUCGAAGGUGGAUUUAGUAGUAAGAUAAACAAGAGAACUUAUCUUAAACCAGCCCUGGAGCGCGCACACACCGCCCGUCACCCUCAUCA